GUGGAAUUAACGAGCCUUGCUUUCCUAUAAAUAUAACCACAACUCUCAUUCUCAAACCACACACAAACUCCCAAAUCACACCCUAUCUGAAAUCACAUUCCUCAGUAAAAUCCUAUUCAAAUUAUAAAUAUUUGAAAAAAAUAGGAAAAGGAUAAGAUAUUAGAAUUCAUGUGGGCGAGACUUACGUAUUAUAAUUGCUGGAACUCUUGCCACAUGUUAAUCUGGUAUUUUUGUCCUCUUCCUUUUUUUCUAGUUUUUACACUACGAGGUAUUUACGACGAUUUCCACUUACGUGGAAUUAACGAGUGUUAUGUUUAAAUCCUUUUACGUGGUAUUUACGACGAUUUCAUCCAACGUGGCCUUUACGACGACUUCUGCUUACGUGGAAUUAACGAGUGUUUUGUUUAAAUCCUUUUACGUGGUGUUUACGACGAUUUCUGCUUACGUGGAAUUAACGAGUAUAAUGUUUAAAUCCCUAAAAUCCGAAACCCCAAACCCCAAACCCCAAACCUGAAACCCCAAACCCCAAACCUC
This 534-nucleotide long non-coding RNA is filed under the name Brassica napus (rape). Its description in RNAcentral is "long non-coding RNA (BNAP_LNC023441)". Lineage: Eukaryota; Viridiplantae; Streptophyta; Magnoliopsida; Brassicales; Brassicaceae. The record is from RNAcentral.